UAAAGGGCCGCGGUAUUUUGACCGUGCAAAGGUAGCAUAAUCAUUAGUCUUCUAAUUAAAGGCUGGAAUGAAUGGUUGGACGAGGCACUAGCUGUCUCACUAAGAUAAGUUAGAAUUUAGCUUCUCAGUCAAAAGGCUGAGAUGUGGUUGGAGGACGAGAAGACCCUAUAGAUCUUUACACUUCACUCGUUUAGUUCGUUUGGGUGGGUUUAAACUUUAAGAGGAAAGUGUUUUGUUGGGGUGACGAGAAGAUAGGAUAAACUCUUUUUACGCAGUAACACUGAUGAGUGGUUGGUUGAUCCAUUAGUUAUGAUUAUAAGACUAAGUUACCUUAGGGAUAACAGCGUAAUCUUUUUUGAGAGUUCUAAUCGACAAGAAGGGUUGCGACCUCGAUGUUGGACUAAGGGUUAUUCUUGGGUGUAGCAGCUCAAGGUUUAGGUCUGUUCGACCUUUGAAUCCUUACAU
RNAcentral lists this ribosomal RNA (465 nucleotides) under Electrogena fallax. RNAcentral describes it as "partial 16S ribosomal RNA". It matches the Rfam family "Bacterial large subunit ribosomal RNA", at positions 1924 to 2601 of the family's 2925-position model. The record is from RNAcentral. Lineage: Eukaryota; Metazoa; Arthropoda; Insecta; Ephemeroptera; Heptageniidae.